Magnolia sinica is the source of this 827-nucleotide long non-coding RNA. RefSeq lists it as uncharacterized. Lineage: Eukaryota; Viridiplantae; Streptophyta; Magnoliopsida; Magnoliales; Magnoliaceae. The record is from RefSeq and is a predicted model, not a curated record. The transcript has 4 exons.
UCACGGGCCAUGAAAGUUUUGGAUCAAGCUGAUAUUUGUGCUGUCCCUUCCUCCAGGUCUUUUUGACCUUACUAGCAGGUUGGAUGGAAAAUAAACAUUACUUCCCAAGAUGUUCUUAAUGAUGCUUAUUCAAAGUGGAAGUAACUAUAUAGAUUGUGGGCUCAGGGGUCCACAUUGCUUACAUGGAUGCAUGAUCAAAGUUGCUCAUCAGUUUUAUCCUUGAAGAAAAAGGAAAGAAAAAUCUGUCCACAUAUUUAUAAAAAAAAAUUCCAUAGCUAUUCUCCUCCUUCUGCUAGUUACCGGUAUUUAUUGGUUCAUUUUAUUUUAUAUCAAAUUUGUUUUUUGGUUAUUUUAUUUUGUUUUAUAAACUUUUGUCUUUGCAUUGGUAACUGAAGGUGGAGCAUUGGUAACAGAGGGGGGCUUUGCUGCUUCAUAUGGGGAUGGAUAUGGACUUCAUUCUGGUGGUGCUGACAAAGGUCCUCUAUAUAGCAUGAGUACUGGUUCUUGGGAUGCAUUUGAGAAGUCUUGCCUUAGGUGUCACUGAAGUCCGUUGAUUUUUAUUUUUUUUCCUUUUGCUUCUCCUUGUGUCUCAAUCUAUAAAUUUUCUAUCCAUUAUGUAACCUUUCAUUUUCAGACCUCCUGUAAAUGAGGUUGGUUGUAAAUGAUUUACAGGUUGUGUUUGAAUGCUAAUUUAAUCUUGUAAAGGUCUUUUGAUUUAGAAGAUUCAGCCUAGCAAAAUUUUUAAUUGUUUUUAUUAUUUUUUCUUUUACACUGUAAAUGAUUUAUUGGCGUUUUAAAUAGAUUUUACCAGUGUUUUUUAAUCUCUC